Molecule: ribosomal RNA, 514 nt
Filed under: uncultured bacterium
Lineage: Bacteria
Description: bacterial SSU rRNA
Rfam family: Bacterial small subunit ribosomal RNA
Source: RNAcentral
GAUCCUGGCUCAGGAUGAACGCUAGCUACAGGCUUAACACAUGCAAGUCGAGGGGCAGCAUGUUGGUUGCUUGCAACCAAUGAUGGCGACCGGCGCACGGGUGAGUAACGCGUAUCCAACCUUCCCCUUAGUAGAGGAUAGCCCGGCGAAAGUCGGAUUAAUACUCUAUGUUCUUCAAUGCGGGCAUCUAAGUUGAAGCAAAGAUUUAUCGCUAAGGGAUGGGGAUGCGUCUGAUUAGGUUGCAGGCGGGUAACGGCCCACCUGGCCUACGAUCAGUAGGGGUUCUGAGAGGAAGGUCCCCCACACUGGUACUGAGACACGGACCAGACUCCUACGGGAGGCAGCAGUGAGGAAUAUUGGUCAAUGGGCGCGAGCCUGAACCAGCCAAGUAGCGUGCCAGGACGACUGCCCUAUGGGUUGUAAACUGCUUUUAUCAGGGAAUAAAGUGAGGCACGCGUGCCUUUUUGUAUGUACCUGAUGAAUAAGGACCGGCUAAUUCCGUGCCAGCCGCCGC